CAGUAGCCGCGGUAAUACGAAGGGUGCAAGCGUUAAUCGGAAUUACUGGGCGUAAAGCGCGCGUAGGUGGUUUGGUAAGAUGGAUGUGAAAUCCCCGGGCUCAACCUGGGAACUGCAUCCAUAACUGCCUGACUAGAGUACGGUAGAGGGUGGUGGAAUUUCCUGUGUAGCGGUGAAAUGCGUAGAUAUAGGAAGGAACACCAGUGGCGAAGGCGACCACCUGGACUGAUACUGACACUGAGGUGCGAAAGCGUGGGGAGCAAACAGGAUUAGAUACCCCUGUAGUCCCUGUCUCUUAUAA
This 301-nucleotide ribosomal RNA is filed under the name uncultured bacterium. RNAcentral's name for it is "partial 16S ribosomal RNA". It matches the Rfam family "Bacterial small subunit ribosomal RNA", at positions 509 to 809 of the family's 1533-position model. The record is from RNAcentral.